Molecule: ribosomal RNA, 409 nt
Filed under: uncultured bacterium
Lineage: Bacteria
Description: bacterial SSU rRNA
Rfam family: Bacterial small subunit ribosomal RNA
Source: RNAcentral
GAUGAACGCUGGCGGCGUGGAUAAGGCAUGCAAGUCGAACGAAAUCUUUCCUGAAGAAGUUGCGAUUACAUCAAGAUGACGGAUUGAAGGAUUUAGUGGCGAACGAGUUAGUAACGCCUUGGUAACGUACCUCCGAGUCGGGCACAACGGGUCGAAAGAUCCGCUAAUUCCCGAUAGUCCCGCAAGGGUAAAGUCGCAAGACGCUUGGAGAGCGGCCUAGGUCCUAUCAGCUUGNGGCGGGGUAACGGCCCACCAAGGCUACGACGGGUAGGGGUGUGAGAGCAUGACCUCAACGACGAAACUAGAGAUACGGUUCGUACACCUACGGUGGCGAGCAGUCGAGAAUAUUCGACAAUGGGCGAAAGACCUGAUCGAGCGACGCCGCGUGCAGGAUGAAGGCCUCGGUCGU